RNAcentral lists this ribosomal RNA (460 nucleotides) under uncultured bacterium. RNAcentral's name for it is "partial 16S ribosomal RNA". It matches the Rfam family "Bacterial small subunit ribosomal RNA", at positions 338 to 795 of the family's 1533-position model. The record is from RNAcentral.
CCUACGGGUGGCAGCAGUGAGGAAUAUUGGUCAAUGGACGAGAGUCUGAACCAGCCAAGUAGCGUGAAGGAUGACUGCCCUAUGGGUUGUAAACUUCUUUUAUAUGGGAAUAAAAUGUUCCACGUGUGGGAUUUUGUAUGUACCAUAUGAAUAAGGAUCGGCUAACUCCGUGCCAGCAGCCGCGGUAAUACGGAGGAUCCGAGCGUUUUCCGGAUUUAUUGGGGUUAAAGGGAGCGUAGGUGGAUUGUUAAGUCAGUUGUGAAAGUUUGCGGCUCAACCGUAAAAUUGCAGUUGAAACUAGCAGUCUUGAGUACAGUAGAGGUAGGCGGAAUUCGUGGUGUAUCGGUGAAAUGCUUAGAUAUCACGAAGAACUCCGAUUGCGAAGGCAGUUCACUGGACUGCAACUGACACUGAGGCUCGAAAGUGUGGGUAUCAAACAGGAUUAGAUACCCGAGUAGUC